Molecule: non-coding RNA, 126 nt
Filed under: Flavobacterium sp. 9R
Lineage: Bacteria; Pseudomonadati; Bacteroidota; Flavobacteriia; Flavobacteriales; Flavobacteriaceae
Description: Bacteroid-trp
Rfam family: Bacteroidete tryptophan peptide leader RNA
Source: RNAcentral
UUUGCUCAACAAAAAAAAAUAUGAGAACAAUAACAAACAAUACUUGGUGGUGGAAUUCUUUACGUCAAACGUCGUGAACAAAGCUCCUAUAGUAUUAUUUGAACUAUUAUAAAUAAAAGGCUUGUC